RNAcentral lists this small RNA (99 nucleotides) under Agarivorans albus MKT 106. The record is from RNAcentral. Lineage: Bacteria; Pseudomonadati; Pseudomonadota; Gammaproteobacteria; Alteromonadales; Alteromonadaceae.
ACGCAACUCGGUCUACACUUAACAGACUAUUAGCGCAAGGCUCUAACACAGAGCCAUUCCCCUACGCUCCGCUCAGGGACUAGAGUGGAGCCGUUUUUU